UUUUUUAACAAUUGAAUGGAAACUCCUAUUUAUACUAAACCUAAAAACUAGGUAAAUAUUGGGCAAAAGUCAAGUAUAAUCUCCAAAAUAUGGAAAAGAAUCAAAAUCUAACAAAAUAUAGAAAAUUGCCAAAAUUGGAAAAUUCGCCAAAUUUUUGGCCUAUGCGGCCGCAUGGUGUAAAUCCAUGCGGUCGCAUGGUUCAACUGAAAUUGCACUUUUGGUUUUCGUGUGCAUUUGUGUGGCCGCAUGUGGUUUUGCCUGUGCGGCCGCAUGGUGUUGUCUUCAGCCUCCGCUUUCGUCGCUUGGUAACAAAUUGAUCCAAGUUGAUUCGGCCUUCAAGCCGAAUAUGAAAGUUGCUCCAUUUUGAGUCCCGAAUAUGGUUCCAUCAAUGGUUUCUUGAACGAGCAAUCCCAUCGCUUGUUUCACUUGCUUUGCCCUUGAUCGCGUCAUUGGUCCACCAUCGACUAUCAACGGGUCUCGUCUCGCAUUUGCCUUCGUCGGGCUCGAUUCCUGAAUCAUAUCAUCCCCUCCCUCUUCAAAAGGAUUCAUCCUCGAAUCUAAACCUGCAUCAAACAGAGAGAGAUCAGAUACAUUAAAAGUAGCCAAAAUAUUGUACUCACCUGGAAGGUCCAACUUGUAAGCAUUGUCGUUUAUCUUUUCAAUCAUUUGAAAUGGACCAUCGCCCCUUGGUUGCAACUAGGACUUCCUAUGCUUUGGAAACCGCUCUUUCCUAAGGUGCACCCAAACCCAAUCCCCUGGCUCGAAUGUCACGCACUUUCUACCUUUGUUCACCUGCAACGCAACCAACUUACUUUUGUUUUCAAUUUGCGCUUUUACCUUUUCAUGGAGUGACUUAAUCAAUUCCGCCUUCUUUUUGCCAUCUAGACUAACACAUUCAUUCACAGGUAAAGGAAUUAAAUCCAAAGGAGUUAGUGGAUUAAAAUCAUCUACAAUUUCAAAUGGAGAAUAUAAUGUAGUAGAGUGAACAGCUCGAUUGUAUGCAAAUUCAACAAAUGGUAGACACUCCUCCCAACUCUUCAAAUUUUUAUUGAUUACUGUGCGUAACAAUUGUGUCAUAGUCCUAUUCACUACCUCGUUCUGCCCAUCUGUUUCUGGGUGGCAAGUUGUGGAAAAUAGUAAUUUAGUGCCUAACUUACCCCCACAAACUCUCCAAAAGUGGCUCAAAAAUUUGACAUCCCGAUCCGACACUAUGCUUCUAGGAAACCCAUGUAAAUGCACAACCUCUUUAAAGAAUAAGUCAGCAAUGUUCGUGGCAUCGUCAAUUUUGUGUUAUGGUAUAAAAUGUGCCAUUUUGCUGAACCUAUCUACAACCACAAAAAUAGAAUCCCGACCUCUCUCAGUCCUAGAUAAACCCAAAAAAAGUCCAUCGAGAUAUCAGCCCAAGGCUCACUAGGUGUAGGUAAAGGUGUGUACAAACAUUGUGGUAAAACCUUAGAUUUAGCCUUUUUACAACCUAUACAUCGACUACAAAUUCGCUCAACAUCACUUUUCAUCUUAGGCCAAUAAAAAUGCUCCUUCAUUACAUCUAAAGUCUUUUGAACCCCAAAGUGUCCCAUUAAUCCACCACUAUGUACUUCUCUUACUAACAAUUCUCGAAUAGAACAAUUAGGAACACAUAACCUAUUUUCCCGAAAUAAAUACCUCUCAUGCCUAAAGAACCUAUCAACCGCCCCCUUAAUGCAUGACAAAUAAAUAUCUGAAAAAUCAACAUCUUUUUCAUAUAAUUCCUUAAUAUGUUCAAACCCAAGUAACUUAGAAUCAAGAGUAGUUAGCAAGACGUACCUUCGAGACAACGCAUCCGCCACCACAUUUUCCUUACCUUGUUUAUACCGAAUGACAUAUGGAAAGGUCUCAAUGAAUUCCAUCCACCAUGCAUGCCUCUUGUUCAAUUUACCUUGUCCUUGCAAGUACUUUAGUGACUCAUGAUCGGUGUGUAUUACGAACUCCUUCGGCCAUAGAUAAUGUUGCCAAGUCUCCAAAGCUCGAACAAGUGCAUAUAGUUCUUUGUCAUAUGUAGGAUAAUUUAAAGCAGCUCUACUCAAUUUCUCGCUAAAGUAUGCAAUAAGCCUCCGAUCCUGCAUUAAAUCUGCUCCAAUCCCUAUUCCUGAUGCAUCACACUCAAUCUCGAAUGUUUUAUCAAAGUUAGGUAAUGCCAAAAUAGGUGCUUCACACAAUCUACCUUUAAUAGUAUUAAAUGCAAGUUCUUAUUCAUCACCCCAAUGAAAACCUACACUCUUUUUAACUACUUCCGUGAGUGGUGCAGUGAUAGUGCUAAAAUCCUUUACAAAUCGCCUAUAAAAACUAGCCAAACCAUGAAAACUCCUAACUUUCAUUAUGCUUUUAGGUGUCGGCCAAUCUCUAAUAGCUUUUAUCUUUUCAUCGUCUACUUCUACCCCACUAGCACUAACCACAAAUCCAAGAAAUAUAACUCUAUUCAUACAAAAUGUACAUUUUUUAAGAUUAGCAUAGAGUUGUUCUUUCCUUAAAAUAAUUAGCACACAUUUUAAAUGUUCCAAAUGCUCUCCUAGGUCUUUGCUAUAGAUUAAUAUGUCGUCAAAAUAAACCACAACAAAUUUUUCUAUAAAAGCACGUAAAACAUGAUUCAUUAAACGCAUAAAAGUGUUAGGUGCAUUUGUGAGUCCAAACGGCAUAACCAACCAUUCAUAUAAACCAUAUUUAGUUUUAAAAGCCGUUUUCCAUUCAUCACCCUCCCGCAUACGAAUUUGAUGAUACCCGCUUUUUAAAUCAAUUUUAGAAAAUAUGCAAGAACCAUGUAAUUCAUCAAGCAUGUCAUCUAACCUAGGUAUAGGGUGACGAUACUUUACCGUUAUGUUGUUGAUAGCCCUACAAUUCACGCACAUUCGCCAUGUUCCAUCCUUUUUUGGUACAAGUAAAACCGGUACCGCACAAGGACUCAUGCUUUCCCUCACGUAUCCUUUACUCAUCAACUCUUCCACUUGCCUUUGAAACUCCUUAGUCUCGUUGGGAUUAUUUCGAUAAGCCGGUCGAUUUGGAAUGACAGCUCCGGGUAUGAAGUCAAUUUGAUGUUCAAUGCCUCGAAUAGACGGCAAUCCACUUGGUGCAUCCUCCGAAAAUAUAUCGUCGAAUUCCUGCAACAAAGACUUAGCCAAACUAGGGAGGGGUGGGUUAGUUUCCUCAAAAUUGAGGAGUGAUUCCUUAUAAAUGAACAAGAUCAUCUCUUUUCUCUCAACUACCGCCAUCCUCAAAUCACUCUCUUUUGCAAAGAAAUUCGCUCGUGUUUUCUCUCUUCUCUCGGGGCACUCUCUUUCAUUUCUCUCUUGUGAUUGCUUUCUCUUUUCCUCUCUAAUGGCUAUCUCAACAUUUUCUCUCUUUUUCUCCAACUCACUAUUUGCUCUCAUUUUUUUCUAACUCUUUUGCUCUCCUCUCUUCCUCACUUCUCAAUUUUAAUUGGUCCUCAUAGACUUGCGUCGGUGUUAAUGGCACAAAAGUAAUGGUCCUUCCAUCCUUAAUGAAACUAUAUCAAUUUUUGUACCCAUCAUGCAUAGCUUUCCUAUCGUAUUGCCAUGGUCGCCCCAAUAAAAUAUGUCCUGCUUGCAUUGGCACCACAUCACACACUAACUCGUCCCUAUAACUCCCAAUUGACAAAUUAAGUAACACCCUUCGAUUCACCCUCACCUUGCCACUCUCAUUCAACCAUUGCAAUUUAUAAGGUCUCAGGUGUCUUAACAAUGUUAAACCCAAUUUUUCUACAAGAGAUACGCUAGCUACAUUAGUGCAACUACCACCAUCAAUUAUAACACUACAUACCGUAUUGUUGACGUGGCAUCGAGUGUGGAAAAUGUUCUCCGUUGCAACUCCAAGUCAUCCGCUUUGACGUGAGUAGUGAGAGCUCGCUUUGUGACUAGUAGAUCCCCAACCGGUCCUUCAAAUUUUUCUUCUUCAUUAACACCCGUUCCCAAACACCUAAAACAUUUGAUGUCCCAAUUGCGCGACGGUUGUGCCUCCGGUUUUGAUAUUGAUUUGCUAGCGUUUUCAUCUUUGCCCUUUUGCCAAUCAUUUUUACCUCUAGGUGUAGCCCCGUUUUUAUUGUUAUCAUCCCACUUCGAUUUCCAUGUUAGAUUAGGAGUCGAAGUACCUAACGGUUGCCUAGAUGUCCCCUUCCUCUUCAAUUGCCUCUCGACCUUCAUUGCCACAUGUAACAUGUCCUCGAUUUCCACAUAAUGUUGCAACUCUACAAUGUUUGCAAUAUCCCGAUUUAACCCAUUCAAGAACCGUGCCAUGGUAGCUUCCCGAUCUUCCUCCACAUUAGCCCGAAUCGUAAAAAUUUCCAUCUCCUUGUGAUAAUCCUCUACGCUUUUCGAUCCUUGGUACAAACCCUAUAAUUUUUGAUGGAUUUCCCUAUAAUAGUGACUCGGAACAAACCUCAUCCUCAUCAACAUCUUCAACUCAUCCCAAGUGCUAAUUGGCCUUUCUCGACCCCUACGCCGUGAUGUCAGUACUUGAUCCCACCAAGAUAUCGCGUAAUCCACAAAUUCAAGCACCGCCAAUUUUAUCUUUUUCUCCUCCGAAUAAUUAUAGCACUCGAAAAUCAUCUCAACCUUCCUUUCCCAAUCUAAAUAUGCUUCCGGAUCGCUUUUCCCCUUAAAUUGCGGAAUAGUCAUUUUAAUACUUCCCAAAUUUCCAUCUACUUCAUCUCCCAAGUUAUUUCUACCCCGUCUUUCCAUCCUAUCGCCCCUAUGCCUCGCUCGACCCAUAUCAAUGUCAUUUUCAUCAAAAUCAUCCACAUCACUAUGAUACUCAUCCCGCCUUCCUCUCCUAGAUUAACGCCUACCCGGCCCCCUAGCAUUAGACAUCUCCACUUGUCCCCGGCUAAGAUUAGCAAUUGUAGUACCCAUUUGUGCCAUUCAUUCCCCUUGCCUAUCUACCUUCUCCCUAACAUCACCAAGUACCCUUUCAAACCUCCUUAUCAUGUCCUCCGAUGCAUUGUUGUCAUUACCAUUUCGGCUUGAGUUAGAACCUUCUCUUUCCGACAUCAUAUCACACAAUUUUUUUAUGCCUCACAAAGAUUUCACUCGGAAAACACUCACUAUGGCUUUUUCCCUCUAUUAAACUCACCACUCAGCCUUUUACCACUCAAAGUCUCCCUCCAAGCACUUCAAAGAACCAAGUGAACUAAAUCAAUUGUUUUACCGGCAAUUCAAGCAAACCGAAUAUUAAUCAAAGACCACGAGACUUAAAGGACUUGAAUAAGUGGAAUAGAUGAAUGUUUUGACACGAAUAUGUGAAUAGACUCAAAGAAGAAUGAAAGACUCGAACCCAAUUGAAUAUCCCAAAAAUCAAACACAAUGUAGGAAUUGUUGUUGGUAGAAAAAAAACACAAAAUCAAACAAUGAUAUCAAAUUUUUUUUUAUAUAUAUAUAUUUUUUUUGUUUUUUGUGAACAAUACUUCAAGAUGAACAGUACCUCGAAUGUACAGUAAACCUUUUUUUUUUCGUUUUUGUACUUUUUUUUUUAUUACUCCUUGAUGAAAGAAGGUGAGUAAACUACCAACAACUCAACAAAACGAUGAAAAGAAAACAAGAAUGAAGAAAAACAAAAAAAGAAAAAUUAACGACCCAAACAAAUAAAGAAAAGAUAUAACCUUCAAUUAAUUUGGAGCCAAAGCUCUGAUACCAACUGAUGCGAACCCCGUAGCAACGUUGACUACGAAACCCACAACGAGAUUGACGAACCCAAGAAAGCCAAAUUAAUCCAAGAGUUUAGGAUUAGCCCAAAAGAAAGUCGAACCAAAAAACCCAACAAGAACGACGCUUGAAAGACCCCUUGAUCACGCAAUCCAAGAAUUAUAUCCGGUUGUUAGAACACCAAAAGUUAACACUUGAUAAGUUCGAAAUUGUUCAAUGAAGAACGAUGAAGAGAAGACAAAACGUUUCACUUUUAAUUCAAUAUCAAUAAUGUCAAAGGUUUUUUAACAAUUGACUGGAAACUCCUAUUUAUACUAAACCUAAAAAUUAGGUAAAAAUUGUGCAAAAGUCGAGUAUAAUCUCCAAAAUAUGGAAAAGAAUCAAAAUCUAACAACAUAUAGAAAAUUGCCAAAAUUGAAAAAUUCGCCAAAUUUUUGGCCUGUGCGGCCGCAUGGUUCAACUGAAAUUGCACUUUUUGUUUUUGGUAUGCAUUUGUGUGGCCGCAUGUGGUUUUGCCUGUGCGGCCGCAUGGUGUUGUUUUCAGCCUCCACUUUCAUCGCUUGAUAACAAAUUGAUCCAAGUUGAUUCGGCCUUCGACCCAAACAUGAAAGUUGCUCCAUUUUGAGUCCCGAACAUGGUUCCAUCAAUGGUUUCUUGAACGAGCAAUCACAUCGCUUGUUUCACUAGCUUUGUCCUUGAUCACAUCAUUAGUCCGCUAUCGACUAUCAACGGGUCUCGUUUCACACUUGCCUUCGUCGGGUUCGACUCCUGGAUCAUAUCAGGGAGUAUAACAAGCAAUUCUAUAUGUUCCCUAUACAGAGUUACCCUGCACAUUUAUAUGAUACCAAUCUAACGAUCUGUUCAAUUCCAGAUAAAAGCUAAUAGGGCUAAUGUCAUACUUCAAAGGAAUCGGAUUGGAAAACUACCUAACACGUCACUUUUCAACUCACCUAAAAUGUCUUGUCAUCUCCAACCUACAGACAAAUUAAGAUGCAGAGAGUAAUAUGGAGAAAUUUCAAGUAAACAUGUGCCCACAGGAUGUCUGCACAUCAAUGCAAUAGCUGGUGCGAGCAUUUAAGCAACAGCAUGCAGUGCAAAAGAACUCUCUACACUUUCAAAUUUGUGCCAAUAUCUAUUUCAUAGAAUGAUGUAUACUGUAAUAAUGUUCCAAUUUUGGUGGUGCGCAAUGAGUAACAACAAUGUUCCAUGUAUCCAUAAUGAACUAUAUAGUUUAAAAGAUCAAACACAAGCACAGCUAUAUCAUAUAUUGAAGACAUUCAGUUAGUUGGCACCUUAGAGACUUCUUACAUGAUAAUUUUGUGUAAUAGAGUUGUAUUAUAUCCAAAUUUAUACAUUUUUCAAUCAAUCCUCCCAAGUAUUUAAAUGCAAUUAAAUGCUAUAAAAAGUUUGUCAACAUGUUUUUGUUGAAAUUACUAUAUUCCUAAGUAUUUUAUGUUCAUAUUUCUUUAUAGCUAAUAACUCGUUCCAAAUAAAAUUUAUUUUUCUAUUAUUUAUAUAAUAGAAGUACAUCAGUAAUCUUCUACACAUACACCUAUUACUGUAGCUUCUUCUAUCUCUACUUCACAUAUUCGUUCAUUAUCCUAGGAUAACUUAUUAAAUCAUGUGGUCCAUGAUGGGGAUGUCCACCAGUAUAUUGUAGAAAAGAAAAUGCUCAAUCAGAAGAGUAAGUAUACCCAAAUGGUUGACCCACCAUGAUUCUGCAUUUCAAUAAUAUACCCCAUCCAACAAUAAUAGAAACCCAAAAUUUCUUAGACUCAAUUGUGAAUUUUAAGAAAAUUGAGCUAAUUGGGUAAAUAGCAGUUAUAUAAUUUAGGAAAAUAAAAUGGGGAAAAUAAGGAGUAGAACCAGCAAAACCAGAAAGAAAAGAGGGAGAAGAAGGCAAUAAAAUUACCUUCAGCUGAAUAGGGUUACAAUUGUGAGUUACGCUGGAGGACAAGCUGCAGCUAGGAUCCUGACAGUGACAAUUUUUCACAAAUCUUGUUGACUGCUCCAACAAGUUCAGCCAAUUCUAGUUGAAAUUGAGGGUGACCCAUGGUAGAACUAGAUGCGCCUGGUUGAAAGGAAUGUUGUGGUGGUGCUCCACGAUUGAGAGGGUGGCUGGAUGUGGAAGCAACUGGGAAAAACGUGACUGCGAUCACAGUUUUGGAUGGGAAUUGGUGUUGUUUCUGGCGGUCUGUGGGUAGACAAUGGUUGGAGGUUGUAGAGGGAGGUAAAGAGGUGCCGUGGUAUGUGGGUCCAAUGGCUUAGGUGGCGAGUGGUGGUUGAUAUUGAUGGAAGGAGGUGGCAAAUUGUAGCUCAAGAAAAAGAAAGAAUUUUGGAGAAAAU
RNAcentral lists this long non-coding RNA (8033 nucleotides) under Olea europaea (common olive). RNAcentral's name for it is "long non-coding RNA (OEUR_LNC008396)". The record is from RNAcentral. Lineage: Eukaryota; Viridiplantae; Streptophyta; Magnoliopsida; Lamiales; Oleaceae.